This 235-nucleotide ribosomal RNA is filed under the name uncultured bacterium. RNAcentral describes it as "partial 16S ribosomal RNA". It matches the Rfam family "Bacterial small subunit ribosomal RNA", at positions 96 to 334 of the family's 1533-position model. The record is from RNAcentral.
UGGCGGACGGGGGAGUAAUGUCUGGGAAACUGCCCGAUGGAGGGGGAUAACUACUGGAAACGGUAGCUAAUACCGCAUAACGUCGCAAGACCAAAGAGGGGGACCUUCGGGCCUCUUGCCAUCGGAUGUGCCCAGAUGGGAUUAGCUAGUAGGUGGGGUAAAGGCUCACCUAGGCGACGACCCCUAGCUGGUCUGAGAGGAUGACCAGCCACACUGGAACUGAGACACGGUCCAG